CAAUAGCGUAUAUUAAAGUUGUUGCAGUUAAAAAGCUCGUAGUUGGAUUUCGAAUGGGAGCGGUGGGUCGGGUCCGCAAGGGCUCGUUACCUGUUUCGUCUCCGGUUCUUUUUCGGGAUUGUUCUGGCGUGGCUGGCAUUGAGUUGUCGGUGGCGUCGGGCCCGUCGUUUACUGUGAACAAAUUAGAGUGUUCAAAGCAAGGUGUGUCUUGAAUACAUUAGCAUGGAAUAAUGAGAUAGGACUUUGGUGGUUUCGGUGAAAGCCGGAUAUUUUGUUGGUUUGCACGCCAAAGUAAUGAUUAAUAGGAGCAGUUGGGGGUAUUCGUAUUCAAUUGUCAGAGGUGAAAUUCUUGGAUUUCUAGAAGACGAACUACUGCGAAAGCAUUUACCAGGGAUGUUUUCAUUAA
RNAcentral lists this ribosomal RNA (406 nucleotides) under uncultured eukaryote. Its description in RNAcentral is "partial 18S ribosomal RNA". It matches the Rfam family "Eukaryotic small subunit ribosomal RNA", at positions 592 to 976 of the family's 1831-position model. The record is from RNAcentral.